This 95-nucleotide microRNA precursor is filed under the name Canis lupus familiaris (dog). RNAcentral's name for it is "mir-8799 microRNA precursor family". It matches the Rfam family "mir-8799 microRNA precursor family". Lineage: Eukaryota; Metazoa; Chordata; Mammalia; Carnivora; Canidae. RNAcentral also lists the same sequence under 1 other name. The record is from Rfam by way of RNAcentral.
AGGGGGAGCGCUGGAUCCUAGGCUAUGUCCCUCGGCGCCCUGGGCUCCGGGGCCUGCACCAAUGGAAUCGUGCUCUUGGGGCCAUGUGGCCCCUU